CUCAUUUUCUCCUGCUGCUGCCAUGUAAAAGUGCCUUUCACCGCUUGCCAUGAUUCUGAGGCCUCCCUAGCCAGGUGGAACUGUUUCUACAAUAAAUCAAGACUGCACAAAAAUAUUUGGAUGCUGUAUGGAAAACAACUUUUACCAGGUCUCCAACUGGCAUAAAAUGUUUUCAAGUAUGAAAACAUCUCUGGGCUUCCUCAACAGGCUGACAGAUCCCUGCAGGACCAAAGAUCAUAUGAUAUAUAUUAGAAGGUAAUGAUCAGUUUAUCACUUGAACAAAAACACCCACACCAAGACAACUAUUACUUUGGAUUAUCGGCAGCAACAAAUAUUCACUUGGAUAAAAUCACGAAUUUUACUUAUAAGUGCAUAAUACACUUUAUUAAAAAAUGCAAUCUGAAGGAAUUCCUACCACAUCAGAACUCCUGGGCUCAUCAGAGUUGGGAAGUUAAUACUCAUUUCGGCAUCUGGUCCAAAUAAAGAAUUGAAUAAACUCAUAAAUCCACUAGAAAGGCUACAGAGUCUUGUCAUCCAGGCUGAAGUGCAGUGGCUUGAUCUUGGCUCACUGCAACCUCCACCUCCCAGGUUCAAGCGAUUCUCCUGCCUCAGCCUCCCGAGUAGCUAGGAUUACAGGCACAUGCCAACACGUCUGGCUAAUUUUUGUAUUUUUAGUAGAGAUGGGGUUUUGCCGUACUGGCCACGCUGGUCCUGAACUCCUGACCUCAGGUGAUCCACCUGCCUCAUCCUCCCAAAGUGCUGGGAUUACAGGUAUAAGCCACCACGCUCAGCCCCAGUGCAUGAGUUUUAACAGAAGUUUCUGCAAUUAGUACUAUUUUAAUAAUAACGCUUCUUCUAGAACAGAAAUGUCACUUCAACCACAGAAAUACAUACGUGUUGAGUAAGCUAAAGGGCUAUUAUGCUACCAUACGCUGAAAAAAUGAGAAAGCACUUGUCUUGCAGGUACUUGCAAUUAUUCUUUCCUCAAUCAGCCCUUCCUUCUCCCACUUACGUUUGUUUUAAAGAUAUUCUGCUGCAAUUAGGGGGGUGAGAACCUAGUAGAAUUACACAAUAUAAUAAUGUGAUGUUUUCUUCUUUUUAAAUAAGUUUACUACUCCCCCAACCAAGUAAAUAACUUAAGGGUACACUGUUAUGCUUAAGGAAGUCAAAAUGAUGAUUUCAAAAAUAAAUACCCUCCUCUUCAGAAGCUGAUUAAUACAGUGCCAUAACUCCUUUUGAGAAUCAAUGGAAGAUUCAGCGGCUUUUCAUCAGGAAGGAAGCAGAAGGGAUAAGGAUUUGGCAUGCUUCAAAUUGAGAGGAAAAAUUACCACUGUUGUGAUAGAUGGUUUGAAAAACCCAUCAAGUGGGUAACUAGAUCUUAUAGCCAGACUGCAGCCAUCAGGAAUUCUAACUCCAAAAAAACUUCUUCAAGUUGAAGAAAACGCAGAUAAUGAGUAAGAAAACAUUCUGCAGAUUCAUUUGUAUUGCAGAGGAAUUACUUCCAAUGUUCUUCCAGUCCUGGCCCCUAGUAUAAACUGCUGUUGAUAGGAGAUGCAGUGAGUUGUCUCCCAGAAACUUGAAAGUGAGGGAAAUAAGAUCACCUUCAAAGAUGUAUGCUGUGAAAUCAUCAUAUAAAUGAUCCAAGCAGAAAUGGCUACAGUCAUCUUAUAGCAGUAGCAGAGCUUGGGGCCUGAGUGUGUGUGGCAGACUCAACAGAGGUGACAUUAACCUGACUUACCAUGUUAGCAUAUCUGAAGAGUGGAAGAACUAGCUAAUCAGAAGGUGGAAGCCUCACAAAAGGAGCAUCCUGACACAUAUGGUGACAGUACCGUCCUAGCAUGGUCUCAAGAGCGGGAGUGGUAACCCGCAAACUUUCAGACCUUCAGUGUCCUGUUGGCAUGAAGAAGGCUGACCCUGAGGCAGGAUGGAUGGGUCAGGAUGUUUCAGCCCGAUGUUAUUAACAUUCAAGUCAUUCAAAUUUCCUGAUCCCAUGCUCACCAAGCAACCUCCUGAUUAUUAUCUGGCUCUGCACAUAGACUUAAUUACAGGAAAGAUAAUACACUGGCCAUAAGGACUUGAAUAAUCUGAACACCAUGACAGUUAUUUCAUAUUGUGGUUGAAUAGACAGGCAGUUGGCCACAAUAUAUCUCCCUACAUAGCUGCUGUCUCCAAGGGGAGAAUUUGCUGCUUAUGUGCUGGGUCUCAGGGAAAAGAUAAUGACUGUAGCAGGUAAUUGCACUGCUGCUUACUACGUGGCUGGCACUGUCUAAAUGCCUUACAUGUACUAAUUCAUUUAAUUUUUAUGACCAUCCUAUGACGUCAAUAAUCAGGCUGAUUUUACAGAUGGAGGAAACUCAAACACAUAGAAGCUGAGUAACUUGCCCAAGAUCAUCUCAGUCUGUUGGGAAGGAAACUGGAGCCCAGAGUCCAGGUACCAGAAUUCAGGCCCAUCGCCACCGUUCUAUACUGUCUUUCCAUUUAUUUCAGGCCCUGAACUUUAUUAUUCAGCCCUCAAAUUAAAAAAAAAAAAAACUAUGAAAAUUAAAAUUUUUUUCAACAUGUACCUGCAAUAUGACCUACUGUGAUCUGAAUUAACUUGGUGGCAAAACUGUACUGAAACUUGUGUGAGGGUAUUAUUUAUAGUCUUACUUCAUCCCAGUUGCUGAGAAUAAUCAUGUUUGCUGUAGAAACAUUAAAAUGUUUGAUUAAAUGGUGUUGCCUAAUAUUCUGCUGUGGGUAUUGUUGUAAUAUAUGUGCACUGUAUUACCUUUGUAAAAUCCUAAAGAUGUUGAAUUCCAAAUCAUAUCUGGUCAGAUGAGGGACCACAGACAAUAGAUCAGUGGUUGUACCUGAAUAACUUGGUAUUCCGGUUUUCAACACUGGGCCUACAGCUUGGUCAUACACAUAUGUGGAAGAACCUCUCUUACUGCGCUGACAAAAUUAGGAUUCUGAGCCAGAAAGGCUGGUAGUCAAGCCACCCAGGCAGUAAAUAACCCUCGGGGAGGCCUGUGAAAAUCCGCCAUCCGAUAUGCUAUCUAGAUGGUUCGAUUGGCCAUGAGCACCAGUGAGACUUUUUCCCAUUAAAGUUCCUCCAAGAACUCAGAUGGUCUCUCCUGUAGGAGAUUGAAGGCUCUUGUGUUGGAGCUGGUGACCUGUGAAGGCCACAUAUUCCAGGAGAUACAAGAAUAUCAAUGGGAAGCCAGUGUAGCCACGUGCACAUUACAGGGCUAUUAGGUUUACUUAUCCACUCACAAAAGUAAUUCCACAAAUGGGCUGGGCGUGGUGGCUCACACCUGUAAUCCCAGCACUUUGGGAAGCUGAGGCAGGUGGAUCACCUGAGGUCAGAAGUUCGAGAGCAGCCUGACCAACAUGGU
Molecule: long non-coding RNA, 3374 nt
Filed under: Homo sapiens (human)
Lineage: Eukaryota; Metazoa; Chordata; Mammalia; Primates; Hominidae
Description: HSALNT0294471
Source: RNAcentral